CCCUUAGAUGUUCUGGGCCGCACGCGCGCUACACUGACGAAUGCAACGAGCUUAUAACCUUGGCCGAAAGGUCUGGGUAAUCUCCAAAUUUCGUCGUGAUGGGGAUAGAUUAUUGCAAUUAUUAAUCUUCAACGAGGAAUGCCUAGUAAGCGUAAGUCAUCAGCUUGCGUUGAUUACGUCCCUGCCCUUUGUACACACCGCCCGUCGCUCCUACCGAUUGAAUGGUCCGGUGAAGCGUUCGGACCGUGGCCUUUGGACGGUUCGCCGUCUGUUGGCUGCGGGAAGUUCGUUAAACCUUAUCAUUUAGAGGAAGGAGAANUCGUAACA
Molecule: ribosomal RNA, 327 nt
Filed under: uncultured eukaryote
Lineage: Eukaryota
Description: partial 18S ribosomal RNA
Rfam family: Eukaryotic small subunit ribosomal RNA
Source: RNAcentral